UGAAGUAAAAGGNUAUGGCUCAACCAUAGUGUGCUCUGGAAACUGUCUGACUUGAGUGCAGAAGGGGAGAGUGGAAUUCCAUGUGUAGCGGUGAAAUGCGUAGAUAUAUGGAGGAACACCAGUGGCGAAAGCGGCUCUCUGGUCUGUCACUGACGCUGAGGCUCGAAAGCGUGGGUAGCGAACAGGAUUAGAUACCCUGGUAGUCCACGCCGUAAACGAUGAGUGCUAGGUGUUAGGCCCUUUCCGGGACUUAGUGCCGGAGCUAACGCAAUAAGCACUCCGCCUGGGGAGUACGACCGCAAGGUUGAAACUCAAAGGAAUUGACGGGGGCCCGCACAAGCGGUGGAGCAUGUGGUUUAAUUCGAAGCAACGCGAAGAACCUUACCAGGUCUUGACAUCCCGAUGCUAUUCUUAGAGAUAGGAAGUUACUCCGGUACAUCGGAGACAGGUGGUGCAUGGUUGUCGUCAGCUCGUGUCGUGAGAUGUUGGGUUAAGUCCCGCAACGAGCGCAACCCUUAUUGUUAGUUGCCAUCAUUAAGUUGGGCACUCUAGCGAGACUGCCGGUAAUAAACCGGAGGAAGGUGGGGAUGACGUCAAAUCAUCAUGCCCCUUAUGACCUGGGCUACACACGUGCUACAAUGGUCGGUACAACGAGUUGCGAGCCGGUGACGGCAAGCUAAUCUCUGAAAGCCGAUCUCAGUUCGGAUUGGAGGCUGCAACUCGCCUCCAUGAAGUCGGAAUCGCUAGUAAUCGCGGAUCAGCACGCCGCGGUGAAUACGUUCCCGGGCCUUGUACACACCGCCCGUCACACCACGAGAGUUUGUAACACCCGAAGUCGGUGAGGUANCCUUUUAGGG
RNAcentral lists this ribosomal RNA (857 nucleotides) under uncultured bacterium. RNAcentral's name for it is "bacterial SSU rRNA". It matches the Rfam family "Bacterial small subunit ribosomal RNA", at positions 590 to 1447 of the family's 1533-position model. The record is from RNAcentral.